CCCUCCCCUGCAGCGACACUCAGUUCGUUUCUUAUCGUUAAGAUCGGUAUUCCCUGCAUCUGUGUUCAUCUUAUUUGUUUUUCCUUCCCUUCACAGAUGUUCAUCUGCUUUGCUUCUUUAAUUCCACCUAUGAAUGACACCACAUGGUCAUUCUCUUUUCCCACUGACCUAUUUCACUUAAGAUGAUCCCUCUAGUUCUACCCACGUCAUUGCAAAUGGCAAGAUUUCCUUCUCUUUGAUAGCUGAGUACCAUUCCUCUCUCUAUGACCACCAUCUAUCUCCCAUCCUCUUUAUCCAUCAUCUGCCACAGGGCACCAAGGCUCCUCCCACAGUGUGGCUACUGUGGACCCGGCUGCUGUGGACAUUGGGGUGCAGUUGUCCCAUAUCUCACUGCAUCUGUAUCUUCAGAGUGAGCUCCAGGCCGUACACCUGCUGGUCGCAGGGCGACUCUAUUUGUAACUUGCUGAGGAGCCUCCACACUGUUUCCAAGGCUGCUGCAGCAGCCCGCGGUCCCGCCCACAGUGGAAGAGGGUUGAGUGAGUUUUACAGGACGUGGUAAAAGUCUGGUCCACAUUUCAUUUCGCGUCUUUGGGCUCCAAUUCCUUCUCCUUAAGUAUUUUUGAGGAAACCGGGUGUUGGGCUCCUUUUGAAUCAGACGUUUCCGAAGGUAACAGGGCACAGCUGGAGCCUGGAAGGAGGCAGAGGUGGGACCCGGACUGGCAUGCUGCCUCCUGCAGCCUCCUGCGGCGUCUGAGCAUCCCACAGGGGGUGCCUGAGCCCAGGCACCGCCCAGGGUGUAUGCAUGCGCAGUAGGCCUCCUCUGCCUGCACUAACAGGAGCCAGCCUUUCCUGGGGAGGCCUGAGGAAGACGUGGGGACACAUCCACGCUGAUGAGCCACAGCCUCUUCAGAACCUGCGUGGAGCCUUCAGGGGGAUAUUGGGCAACGUUCACACUGACAGGAGCCCUGGUCUCCUCAGAAUACACAGUGAGGCUUCAGGAAAUUGUUGGCCCUCACCCACCCUGACAGGAGCCCCUGGGCUGCUGCAGGCCCCGCGGGGAGGCUUUAGUAAGAUGUGGGCCCGCAUCCACGUUGACAGGAGCCCCUGGGCUGCCUCAGGACACGCGGGGAGGCUUCUGAAAAAUGUGGCGCAGCGUCCACUCUGGCAGGAGCUAACGGGCCCCUCAGGACAUAAGUUGAGUCUUCUGGAAGCUGGGGGCUGCAUCCACAGUGACCGGAGCCCGGCCACCUCAGAACAAGCGGUGACGCUUCGGGAGGAUGUGGGGCCACGUCCACACAACUGGACGCUGAUGUCCUCAGGACCCCUGGUGUAGACUUCGGGUCAUAUGGGGAUGCGUCCAUGCGGACAGAAGACCCCAGCCUUGUCAGAGUCUGCGGUGAGGCCUAAGAAAGAUGUGGAUGCCGAAUCCACACUGACAGGAGUCUCCAGCCACCUCAGGACACACUGUGAAGGAUUGGGAUGAUUUGGGGCCCCAUCCAUGCUGACAGGAGCCCCCAGCCUCCUCGGGUCUUAUGGUGAGGCUGAGGAAAAUAUGGGGCCACGUCAAGACUGAGAGGACCCCCGUCCUCCUCAGGACCUGCACUUUGGCUUCGGGACACAUGGGGCUGCGUCUAGGCUGACAGGAACCCACAGCCUCCUCAGGACCCGCGGUGAGUUUUCUGGGGGACGUGGGGCCAUGUCCAGGCUGAGAGGAGCCCCCGGCCUCCUGAGAACCUGCUGUGAGGCUUCCAGAGGAUGUGAGGCAUACUCCACGGUGACAGGAGACCCGGCGUACUCAGGACCUGCUGACUAUGACUCUGGAACACAUGGGGCCACGUGCGCACUCACAGGAGCCCGGCUUCCUCAGGACCCCCUGGAGGACACUGGAGGCACCGUUGGGGCCACGUCCAUGUCAGAAGGGACUCCUCAGAACCAUAGGUGUGUAUAUUUACCACAUCGUCUCUGCCCAUUCUUCUGUCGAUGGACAUCUGGGCUCUAUACAGUUUCGCUGUUGUUGACAAUGCUGCUACCAACACUGGGCUGCGUGUUCCUCUUCGAAUCUACUCAACUACUUUUGUAUCCUCAGGACUGUUGUGCCCAAGAUUGCGAAUAUGAGAAACCACCGAGAAGUCAACAUGAAUGCAAACACACGAGGGUUAAUUUACAAGAUCGAGCUUGUGUCCAAGUAUACCCGACACAGCAGAGCAGGGACUUGGACCCCAAGAGGAAGAAUUCAGGGAUUCACCAGUUGGAGAUAACAGCAGUGCACGUGACAACACCUCCCCUGUUAUCCCCAAACUCCAGCGGCCCUCAGUUUGUUUCCUUUCAUUAAGAGUCUGUAUUUCCUGCAUCUGUUUUUAUCAUAUUUGUUUUUCCUUCCCUUUACAGUUGUUAUCUGCUUUGCUUCUUUAAUUCCACCUAU
Molecule: long non-coding RNA, 2422 nt
Organism: Canis lupus familiaris (dog)
Lineage: Eukaryota; Metazoa; Chordata; Mammalia; Carnivora; Canidae
Exons: 4
Source: RefSeq, a predicted model, not a curated record